This 497-nucleotide ribosomal RNA is filed under the name uncultured bacterium. Its description in RNAcentral is "partial 16S ribosomal RNA". It matches the Rfam family "Bacterial small subunit ribosomal RNA", at positions 28 to 507 of the family's 1533-position model. The record is from RNAcentral.
GAUGAACGCUGGCGGCGUGCCUAAUACAUGCAAGUCGAGCGAACAGACGAGGAGCUUGCUCCUCUGACGUUUGCGGCGGGCGGGUGAGUAACACGUGGAUAACCUACCUAUAAGACUGGGAUAACUUCGGGAAACCGGAGCUAAUACCGGAUAAUAUAUUGAACCGCAUGGUUCAAUAGUGAAAGACGGUUUUGCUGUUACUUAUAGAUGGAUCGUCGCCGCAUUAGCUAGUUGGUAAGGUAACGGAUUACCAAGGCAACGAUGCGUAGCCGACCUGAGAGGGGGAUCGGCCACACUGGAACUGAGACACGGUCCAGACUCCUACGGGAGGAAGCGGAAGGGAAUCUUCGGCAAUGGGGGAAAGCCUGACGGAGCAACGCGGGGUGAGUGAUGAAGGUCUUCGGAUCGUAAAACCCUGUUAUUGGGGAAGAACAAAGGUGUAAGUAACUAUGCACGUCGUGACGGUACCUAAUCAGAAAGCCACGGCUAACUACGUG